AGGAAAGAAACAAAGGAACACAUCAUAUUUUGAAGGAACCUACAAUCCCUUUUUUGUGGAACCUACGUGAUAGCAUCCAGUCUAGCCCACUUGCAUUAAAAUUGACGGGCUUCAAUGUGAAUCAAGAAGAACUUAUGAUGGAAGAAAAAACUAAGAACGAGCCCGAGAAUUCUGGAGAAGCAUGGGCUAAGUGCUAUACAUAUUUCACGAUUCAAGUCCAAGUCCAAACAGAAGAAGAUUGGGCCAUAUAAGUUUUGAUUAAAUUUGUGAACUUUUCCUUCUUUUGUUAGGGAUUUAUUUUUUAUAUUAUUUUCCUAGUUUAAAGUUUCCUAGUUUGAAGUUUCCUAGAUUUAUUUAUUUCCAUAAAAGUAGAAUUCGAAACCCAUGCUAUUUGGGAUAGGUUUUUUGACAAUAUUAUUAUUAAUUGAGAGUUUCUCUUAUUUACACAUUUGUGUGUGGCUACUUGGGAUUUAUCUUGCAACCCUAUAAAAACGAUUCUUUAGGAGGUAAGAUUAAUUCUUAAUUUGAUAUCUUAGGUUUCAAUUAAAGUUAAUUAAAAAAGGUGAUUAGUCUUAUACUAAUUGUUGUCUUUAGUUUCUUUGAAAUAGGGGUCUAGAUCACUUUUGAUCUAAGUUCUUGAAUUGACUCAAUUAGUAUCAUAAUUAGUCUUAAUCCGCUAAUUUUGAAUACUAAGAUCAACUAGGGUUCUUAGCACUUAAACCUCGAAAUUGGGGAUUUUAUUCUCCAAUUUUGCCUAUCUUUAAUUUCUUGCCUAUAAUCUUAGUAUUUUCGUUUCCGCAUUAUUUUCUUGUUCAUUAACGUAACCCGAUUGUUAUCAAGUGGUAUCAGAGCGAUUCUAUCAAGGUUUCGUUCUUGAUAAUUCUUGGGAGUUCCGUAGUAAAAAAAAAAGGUUGCUUUAGAUCAAGAAAUUCCAAAUUUAUUGUGUUUGUUGUUUUCCAACAUCAAGGAGGAAAAACCGAGAAGAGGAAAAAUUUAGAUUUUUUUCCAAUUGGUUUUUUUUCUUGUCUCACCAAACCCAAUCCAUCUGGGAGUUGGUAAUUUUUUUUUUAAUCUCUACAUCUUACUUCUAAAGGGAUUGUUACUAGUAGGGUUAAUAUAUAAAUUCUAAAGGAAUCAGCCAAAGGUUGUAAUUUGAGUGGGAAAAGGCAAGAGGGGUGAGAUAAAAAAAAAGAGCCAAAUUGAGAGUUUUUGUUUUCUUUAACUUUAGGAGAUGUCUCAAACCGUAAAGGAUAUUGAUGCUGGGAGUCAAAACAAUGGCAUUGCCGAGGCACUUAGAAGGAUUUUUGCUCGACUCGAUGCAUUAGAGGUCACCCAAAACCCACCUAAUCAGGUGAAUAUAACUGAUUUAAGGGGAAGUGUUUUUCAUACAAGGUACGGGAUAAAGGAUAAUAUUUGGUCUAUGAUUAUUGAUUUUGAAAGUAAUGCUAAUGUGAUAAGCUCAUACGUGGUGGAGAAGUUGAAACUUACAUGCAUCAAACACAAUGAUUUCGGUAAACUGAAAGUGACUAAGCAAUGAAUGAUUUCUUUCUCCAUUGGAAGGUACUCUGAUAAUGUUCUUUGUGAUGUAAUUCCAAUGCAAGAUUGUCAUAUCAAGCUUGGGCGUUCCUAGCAGUUUGAUAGGAAUGCAAUUUAUGAUAGGGGGAAGAAUAGAGUUUCUCUUGAGCUAAACGAAAGAAAAUAUAAACUUGUACCUUUAACUCUAUUCCAAGUUUAUGAAGAUCACAAAUGUGUGAAAGAAAUAAUGAAAAAUUUUGAGAGAGAAAAGAAUGAUAGGGUAAGGGGGUGUAUGUUGAUAUUCCAAGAAAGGAAAAAAGAAAAGUUGUGUUGUGUGAAGAGAAUGGGAUGUCAAGUGAGGUCAAGAGAAAAGAAAGGAGAUAUGAUCAUGAGAGUAAUAAAGAGGGAUAAUAAUAAGGUAAAGAAAGAGAACCAAGGGAGUUUGAGUGAGGUUAUUUCUUAUUCUAACUCUAACCUUCCUACUUCUUCUUUUAGUUGCUUUGAUUCACUUAUAGAUACUCACGGAAAAGUUUGCAUUGAAAAGCCUUCAUUGGAUGAACUUAAUACUAAGGUGGUUGAAACUACAUGUCCCAUUGAGCAAGUGUUUAUUCAUAAGAAUGAUAUAAGUAAAGAGAAUUAUUUUGGACUUGUCCAAGAUGAGACUUAUGACAAGAAAUCCAAUAAGGCAGAUGUAGAUCUAACGCCAAUGAGCAAGGAAAAACGAGGUGAUAUUAUUCUUUUGCUACAUAAGACCAAAUUAAGGCAUAACUCCUGAAGUCUUGGUGAUUAUAAGGUUAAAAAAAUGUUUGCUACUAGUGAUGAGGAAAUCCAUGACUAUUAUGAUACAAGUGAUCAAAUGCCCAUUGUUGAACCUAUUCAUGAUUCCUUGUUGGUGAAUUUGAGUAGCUACUUAGAAUUUAAUGGAGAUUGUAUUUUGAGAUUGAAAGAUUCUUCUAACCUUCUUGAAAAUUCCUAUGCAUAUGUGGAAAAAUCUUUGAGAAGUGUAAUUGAUGAUGCUUGGCUAUAUCAUAAAAGUGUUAAAUUUGAUACAUAUUUUAUGGAGCUUAUGGCGUCUUUAACAAGCCCAGUGGAGUACUUUAUUGAUAGAGCUAAAUUGGGGAGGCACAUAUCAUUCCCUACGUCAUCUAAACGGUGAAUAUUGUUGUGCUCGUACAAGAAAGAGAAUUUUCUAUUGGGAAGAUGAUGUCCACAUGCUUUAUAAAGAUGUAUUUAUACAUGCAAGGAUUAAUUGGGUUAAGUAGACACAUGGUCACUAUCUUGUUUUGUUCCUACCAUUGUUGCUUUCAAGUAAUGAAUGUUGUUUACUAUUGUAUGUCUUCUUGAUUUUGCGAUAUUCCAAUGUGAGGACGAAUUGUUUUCAAGAAGAGGGGAAUGAUAGAAUCCAGUCUAGCCCACUUGCAUUAAAAUUGACGGGCUUCAAUGUGAAUCAAGAAGAACUUAUGAUGGAAGAAAAACCUAAGAACGAGCCCGAGAAUUAAGGAGAAGCAUGGGCUAAGUGCUAUACAUAUUUCACGAUUCAAGUCCAAGUCCAAGUCCAAGCGGAAGAAGAUUGGCACAUAUGAGUUUUGACUAAAUUUGUGAACUUUUCCUUAUUUUGUUAGGGAUUUAUUUUUUAUAUUAUUUUCCUAGUUUAAAGUUUCCUAGUUUNNNNNNNNNNNNNNNNNNNNNNNNNNNNNNNNNNNNNNNNNNNNNNNNNNNNNNNNNNNNNNNNNNNNNNNNNNNNNNNNNNNNNNNNNNNNNNNNNNNNNNNNNNNNNNNNNNNNNNNNNNNNNNNNNNNNNNNNNNNNNNNNNNNNNNNNNNNNNNNNNNNNNNNNNNNNNNNNNNNNNNNNNNNNNNNNNNNUAAGAUUAAUUCUUAAUUUGAUAUCUUUGGUUUCUAUUAAAGUUAAUUAAAGAAGGUAAUUAGUCUUAUACUAAUUAUUGUCUUUAGUUUCUUUGAAAUAGGGGUCUAGAUCACUUUUGAUCUAAGUUCUUGAAUUGACACUGUUAGUAUCAUAAUUAGUCUUAAUCCGCUAAUUUUGAAUACUAAGAUCAAAUAGGUUUCUUAGCACUUAACCUCAAAAUUGGGGAUUUUAUUCUCCAAUUUUGCCUAUCUUUAAUUUCUUGCCUUUAAUCUUAGUAUUUUCGCUUCCGCAUUAUUUUCUUGUUCAUUAACGUAACCCGAUUCUUAUCACUACGGCUCAGUACAGAAAAUUAACAUGAACUGUCUGCAGUUCUUUUAUUUUUGGUGUAAGAACUCCUACAUGAUGCAGAAUCGUUAAUAGAAAUUAUAGAAUACUUGUAAGAACAGCAAGGAGCUCCUUUUUUUUCCUUAUUUUGGAAAGCAAAUAUAAUCUUCAUAUCCUUUGUGCAGCUGAUAUUAAUAUAUGUUACCUUUCUGAAAAAAAAAACAAAAAUACCAACUCUUUUUUACGAGUACAUAGAUUAGCGCUGAUUUCCAAGAAUAAAGCUUAAUAUCUUUAAACAACAACAGUAUUAUAGCUUGAUCAGUGAUUAAAAAAAAUUGACAAAGGUAACAUACCAGUGAUAAAAUUUUAUGAAAGCCUAUAAAUGUGGAAAAAGGAUAAAAAUAAAAAAUUAAUACUACUUAAGUUUCUUCUUUUUUUCUCUUUUUUUGUCAAGAAAAUCAAGUUGCACUAACAUUAGUUGAAAUCUAUGUUUCAGGAAAGAAUAUAACACAAUGAAAUAAUCUGUUACUUUACCAGAAAAAGAUUAAGCCCAAGAUACUUGUAGGUUUCCCUAUUCAAAAGACCAAAUAGUAAACACCCUUACAAUAUAUCACG
This 4318-nucleotide long non-coding RNA is filed under the name Capsicum annuum. Its description in RNAcentral is "long non-coding RNA (CANN_LNC008267)". The record is from RNAcentral. Lineage: Eukaryota; Viridiplantae; Streptophyta; Magnoliopsida; Solanales; Solanaceae.